UGGGCUUGACAUGUGAGUGACCGCCGUGGAAACACGGUUUUCCUUCGGGACACCAUCACAGGUGGUGCAUGGCUGUCGUCAGCUCGUGUCGUGAGAUGUUGGGUUAAGUCCCGCAACGAGCGCAACCCCCGUUCCAUGUUGCCAGCAUUAAGUUGGGGACUCAUGGGAGACUGCCGGUGACAAACCGGAGGAAGGUGGGGAUGACGUCACACAGACUAUAC
This 221-nucleotide unclassified non-coding RNA is filed under the name uncultured Solirubrobacterales bacterium. Its description in RNAcentral is "contains 16S-23S intergenic spacer region". It matches the Rfam family "Bacterial small subunit ribosomal RNA", at positions 976 to 1198 of the family's 1533-position model. The record is from RNAcentral. Lineage: Bacteria; Bacillati; Actinomycetota; Thermoleophilia; Solirubrobacterales.